RNAcentral lists this transfer RNA (74 nucleotides) under Mycoplasma capricolum. RNAcentral describes it as "tRNA sequence". It matches the Rfam family "tRNA". From Rfam's summary of the family: Transfer RNA (tRNA) molecules are approximately 80 nucleotides in length. The record is from RNAcentral. Lineage: Bacteria; Bacillati; Mycoplasmatota; Mollicutes; Mycoplasmatales; Mycoplasmataceae. RNAcentral also lists the same sequence under 12 other names.
GCAGGUGUAGUUUAAUGGUAGAACUUCAGCCUUCCAAGCUGAUUGUGAGGGUUCGAUUCCCUUCACCUGCUCCA